This 305-nucleotide ribosomal RNA is filed under the name uncultured bacterium. RNAcentral describes it as "bacterial SSU rRNA". It matches the Rfam family "Bacterial small subunit ribosomal RNA", at positions 337 to 656 of the family's 1533-position model. The record is from RNAcentral.
GCCUACGGGACGCAGCAGUGGGGAAUAUUGGGCAAUGGGCGCAAGCCUGACCCAGCAACGCCGCGUGAAGGAAGAAGGCUUUCGGGUUGUAAACUUCUUUUAUUCGGGACGAAGAAAGUGACGGUACCGAAUGAAUAAGCCACGGCUAACUACGUGCCAGCAGCCGCGGUAAUACGUAGGUGGCAAGCGUUAUCCGGAUUUAUUGGGUGUAAAGGGCGUGUAGGCGGGAAUGCAAGUCAGAUGUGAAAACUCAGGGCUCAACCCUGAGCCUGCAUUUGAAACUGUAUUUCUUGAGUGCUGGAGAG